Molecule: ribosomal RNA, 611 nt
Filed under: uncultured beta proteobacterium
Lineage: Bacteria; Pseudomonadati; Pseudomonadota; Betaproteobacteria
Description: bacterial SSU rRNA
Rfam family: Bacterial small subunit ribosomal RNA
Source: RNAcentral
ACACAUGCAAGUCGAACGGCAGCACGGGUGCUUGCACCUGGUGGCGAGUGGCGGACGGGUGAGUAAUGCAUCGGAACGUAUCCUUAAGUGGGGGAUAACGCAUCGAAAGAUGUGCUAAUACCGCAUAAUCUCUGAGGAGAAAAGCAGGGGCUCUUAGGACCUUGUGCUUUUGGAGCGGCCGAUGCCUGAUUAGCUAGUUGGUGGGGUAAAGGCCUACCAAGGCUUCGAUCAGUAGUUGGUCUGAGAGGACGACCAGCCACACUGGGACUGAGACACGGCCCAGACUCCUACGGGAGGCAGCAGUGGGGAAUUUUGGACAAUGGGGGCAACCCUGAUCCAGCCAUGCCGCGUGAGUGAAGAAGGCCUUCGGGUUGUAAAGCUCUUUCAGUCGGGAAGAAAAGGUUACGGUUAAUACCUGUAAUUCAUGACGGUACCCGCAGAAUAAGCACCGGCUAACUACGUGCCAGCAGCCGCGGUAAUACGUAGGGUGCAAGCGUUAAUCGGAUUUACUGGGCGUAAAGCGUGCGCAGGCGGCUUUGCAAGACAAGUGUGAAAUCCCCGGGCUUAACCUGGGAACUGCAUUUGUGACUGCAAGGCUAGAGUGUGUCAAA